RNAcentral lists this ribosomal RNA (253 nucleotides) under uncultured bacterium. RNAcentral's name for it is "partial 16S ribosomal RNA". It matches the Rfam family "Bacterial small subunit ribosomal RNA", at positions 524 to 776 of the family's 1533-position model. The record is from RNAcentral.
UACAGAGGGUGCAAGCGUUAAUCGGAAUUACUGGGCGUAAAGCGUGCGUAGACGGUUAUGUAAGUCGGGUGUGAAAGCCCCGGGCUCAACCUGGGAAUGCCAUUCGAGACUGCAUAGCUAGGGUGCGGAAGAGGGAAGCGGAAUUUCCGGUGUAGCGGUGAAAUGCGUAGAUAUCGGAAGGAACACCAGUGGCGAAAGCGACUUCCUGGACCAAUACUGACGCUCAUGUGCGAAAGCGUGGGGAGCAAACAGG